This 478-nucleotide ribosomal RNA is filed under the name uncultured bacterium. RNAcentral's name for it is "partial 16S ribosomal RNA". It matches the Rfam family "Bacterial small subunit ribosomal RNA", at positions 28 to 507 of the family's 1533-position model. The record is from RNAcentral.
GAUGAACGCUGGCGGCGUGCUUAACACAUGCAAGUCGAACGGGAAAUAUUUCAUUGAGACUUCGGUGGAUUUGAUUUAUUUCUAGUGGCGGACGGGUGAGUAACGCGUGGGUAACCUGCCUUAUACAGGGGGAUAACAGUCAGAAAUGGCUGCUAAUACCGCAUAAGCGCACAGAGCUGCAUGGCUCAGUGUGAAAAACUCCGGUGGUAUAAGAUGGACCCGCGUUGGAUUAGCUAGUUGGUGGGGUAACGGCCCGCCAAGGCGACGAUCCAUAGCCGGCGUGAGAGGGUGAACUGGCACAUUGGGACUGAGACGCGGCCCAGACUCCGACGGGAGGCAGCAGUGGGGAAUAUUGCACAAUGGGGGAAGCCCUGAUGCAGCGUCGCCGCGUGAAGGAAGAAGUAUCUCGGUAUGUAAACUUCUAUCAGCAGGGAAGAUAGUGACGGUACCUGACGAAGAAGCCCCGGCUAACUACGUG